RNAcentral lists this ribosomal RNA (440 nucleotides) under uncultured bacterium. RNAcentral describes it as "partial 16S ribosomal RNA". It matches the Rfam family "Bacterial small subunit ribosomal RNA", at positions 338 to 795 of the family's 1533-position model. The record is from RNAcentral.
CCUACGGGUGGCAGCAGUGGGGAAUAUUGCACAAUGGGGGAAACCCUGAUGCAGCGACGCCGCGUGAGUGAAGACGUACCUCUGUAUUUUAAGCUCCUUCAGCAGGGAAGAAAAUGACGGUACCUGAUUAAGAAGCCCCGGCUAACUCCGUGCCAGCCGCCGCGGUAAUACGUAGGGGGCCAGCGUUAUCCGGAUUUACUGGGGGUAAAGGGAGCGUAGACGGCAGCGUAAGUCUGAAGUGAAAUGCCGGUGCUUAACCCCGGAACUGCUAUGGAAACUGUGCAGCUAGAGUGCAGGAGAGGUAAGUGGAAUUCCUAGUGUAGCGGUGAAAUGCGUAGAUAUUAGGAAGAACACCAGUGGCGAAGGCGGCUUACUGGACUGUAACUGACGUUGAGGCUCGAAAGCGUGGGGAGCAAACAGGAUUAGAUACCCGAGUAGUC